UACAUUUAAAUCGCUUUUUGUAUGUAAAUUACGUUUAAAUCUUUAAAAAAUGGUUAGUUGCUCUGCGUUUGGAUGUACCAAUCGAUCAGAAAAGUGUAAAGAAGUCAGUUUUCACAGAAUCCCGUCUGUGAAAAAGAAAGAACUCAGACAAAAAUGGCUAAACAAAAUACGUCGUACAGGUGAUCUACCAAGCGAUCGAAGUUUUUAUAUUUGUUCGUCGCACUUCACAGAUAGUUCUUUUAAAAGGGAUCUCCAGGUAAUAAUCUUCCAUAUUAAAAUAUUGCCACUUCGUAAAAAUGCCAUUUUAGCUAGUCAACGCGAUCAAAGUUUCUCAUUUCUUCUUCAUUUCAUUAUUUGUACUUAUAUCCACAACACAACCAAAUAACGUUUUCUACAUAUUUAUAUUAUAAAAGAACAUUAUACCAAUUUCCAAUACAAAGUUAUCUAGUUAGACAUGUAUCUUUCGUAGCGCUCGUAAGUUUCUAUUCUUUGUUUUUCAAAAAAGAAGCUUUUUGAUGGAAGGACCUGCCGAAUAUUUUCAGGGGGUAAAUGUGCCCAUUUUAUUAGCAUCAUUUCAUCGGCGCUACUUCUAAUCUUUGUUUAUUUAGGCUGAACUUACUGGUAUCAAAAGAAAGAGACAGCUGACCGAGGAUGCUGUUCCAACAAUUUUUUCUUUUAGUAAGCCUGAAAAUUCAAGAGAAUCGACAUCAAAAAGAUUGGAAACUUUCGCUAAAAAACAAUGUGUUGCAAAGGCUUUAAGUGUGGAGGAUGAUGUUGACCUUGAAGUAUACGCUGAACAAGAAAUAAUUUCAUUGGUUAAGGAACAAGGCGUUAGUGCAAUUGUGGAAACGGUAGAGAAAUCGGUUGGUGCCAAUACUUUUACCAGGUCCGUUAGAACACAAUGUGAUCCCUUAGAGGCAAUUCAUCCUGAGAUACAACCAACGAAGGAUGUUUUAAAAGUGAAAUUUACUCUUCCGCACGGACGAUGUAAGUAAAAAAAACUCUUGCCGACAUGAACUAUUUGGCGCACUUUUGCCAUACGGGAAGCCUAGAGGUAUUCCAUUCUUUGCUUACCAAAUAUUGCCCGAAACGUAUUCAUUUCAGCAUGGAAGGUAUGAUCGCGCGCACGCAGCUGGCUGUCCUUGAUUUUAACUCGGGGACUAAUUGUGAACAGGCUGUUACCAAAAAAGGAGUACUCCGCUAUAAACAAGUCUUUUCACGAGUAACACAAUCCUGGGUCGUAAAAAAAAUUACCGAGAAGAAAGAAAAGGCGUAUUUAGCAGAAUUAAUGACGGCUACUUUGGAACCAAUCGACAACGAAAAAGAUAAGUUACCACAAACAGGAGAAAUUGCUGAAAGAAUAACAGAGGUUGAAAAACCCGACAAAAGCGAUGCCAUUAAAGCCAUCAGGACAAGAUUUAAAACGUGACUUUUUUAUUUUUUUAUUUUUAUUCAACUUUCUUUGAAUAAAACAUAUUUUUCA
This is a long non-coding RNA of Hydractinia symbiolongicarpus, 1483 nucleotides long. RefSeq lists it as uncharacterized. Lineage: Eukaryota; Metazoa; Cnidaria; Hydrozoa; Anthoathecata; Hydractiniidae. The transcript has 2 exons. The record is from RefSeq and is a predicted model, not a curated record.